RNAcentral lists this ribosomal RNA (653 nucleotides) under uncultured bacterium. Its description in RNAcentral is "bacterial SSU rRNA". It matches the Rfam family "Bacterial small subunit ribosomal RNA", at positions 505 to 1158 of the family's 1533-position model. The record is from RNAcentral.
GUGCCAGCAGCCGCGGUAAUACGUAGGUGGCAAGCGUUGUCCGGAUUUAUUGGGCGUAAAGCGAGCGCAGGCGGUUUCUUAAGUCUGAUGUGAAAGCCCCCGGCUCAACCGGGGAGGGUCAUUGGAAACUGGGAGACUUGAGUGCAGAAGAGGAGAGUGGAAUUCCAUGUGUAGCGGUGAAAUGCGUAGAUAUAUGGAGGAACACCAGUGGCGAAGGCGGCUCUCUGGUCUGUAACUGACGCUGAGGCUCGAAAGCGUGGGGAGCGAACAGGAUUAGAUACCCUGGUAGUCCACGCCGUAAACGAUGAGUGCUAAGUGUUGGAGGGUUUCCGCCCUUCAGUGCUGCAGCAAACGCAUUAAGCACUCCGCCUGGGGAGUACGACCGCAAGGUUGAAACUCAAAGGAAUUGACGGGGGCCCGCACAAGCGGUGGAGCAUGUGGUUUAAUUCGAAGCAACGCGAAGAACCUUACCAGGUCUUGACAUCCUUUGACCACUCUAGAGAUAGAGCUUCCCCUUCGGGGGCAAAGUGACAGGUGGUGCAUGGUUGUCGUCAGCUCGUGUCGUGAGAUGUUGGGUUAAGUCCCGCAACGAGCGCAACCCUUAUUGUUAGUUGCCAUCAUUUAGUUGGGCACUCUAGCGAGACUGCCGGUGA